RNAcentral lists this ribosomal RNA (24 nucleotides) under Fusarium oxysporum. RNAcentral describes it as "partial 28S ribosomal RNA". Lineage: Eukaryota; Fungi; Ascomycota; Sordariomycetes; Hypocreales; Nectriaceae. The record is from RNAcentral.
GUGACCUCGGAUCAGGUAGGAUGC